CCUACGGGAGGCAGCAGUGAGGAAUAUUGGUCAAUGGGCGCGAGCCUGAACCAGCCAAGUCGCGUGAGGGAGGACGGCCCUACGGGUUGUAAACCUCUUUUGCCGGGGAGCAACGGGCGCCACGUGUGGCGUCACUGAGAGUACCCGGAGAAAAAGCACCGGUCAACUCCGGUCCAGCAGCCGAGGUAAUAAGGAGGAUGCGACCGUGAUCCGGUUUUAUUGGGUUUAAAGGGUGCGCAGGCGGAUCGUUAAGUCAGUGGUAAAAUUGAGGGGUCCAACCCCUUCCCGCCAUUGAAACUGGCGUUCUUGAGUGGAAGAGAAGUAUGCGGAAUGCGUG
Molecule: ribosomal RNA, 337 nt
Filed under: uncultured bacterium
Lineage: Bacteria
Description: partial 16S ribosomal RNA
Rfam family: Bacterial small subunit ribosomal RNA
Source: RNAcentral